RNAcentral lists this long non-coding RNA (1035 nucleotides) under Nothobranchius furzeri (turquoise killifish). Its description in RNAcentral is "lncRNA (ENSNFUG00015019668.1)". Lineage: Eukaryota; Metazoa; Chordata; Actinopteri; Cyprinodontiformes; Nothobranchiidae. The record is from RNAcentral.
CGGUGCUUUCUCUGGAAACACAGAGAUUCCGGUGACCCUGGAAAUAUUUGGUUUUUCCACACACAGCGAACUGGUGCAAAGGUGGAUCUUCUUUUAAAUUAACUCCGUCUCCAAACAUCCCUGCUCCCCUGUGGGAUUUUUUCUUUCCGUUGUUUUUAGAAGCUCAAGGGUGAUUCCCAUUUAAAGAGGAAAUGUUUGUGCAGCAAUAAAUUAAAUUACAAUUAUGCUAAUUUGACAGUUUUCACAGCUUUUUUUCUAACUGUCGGACACAACAUUAUGCAUUCUAAGCUUUACUUUGAGCUUUAGUCCUUUGAUCUAAACAUUUUCAUAAGAAUGUUUUAAAUCUUUCACUUAUAAAUCAUUUGUAUAAAAAAGCUUCAAAACACAAUGAAAAACCUGAAAUAGACAGAAAAAGAGCUUAAAGGGACUUUACGGACUUUUGAACUUUUAUGCUCGCGAUUGCCCCCUCAGGCCAAAAGCGUAACGGCAGCUUCAAUAGUAGGCUCGUGCACGAGGCGCACAUGCUGUACGUGCACACUCCUUAACAAAAAUAACAGCUGAGACAGUCCCAUGUGUGUGUGUGUGUGUGUGUGUGUGUGGCCCGGAGGACAGAGGACAGGAGAACGCGCAGCUAAUUAAUUAAAUAAUUUGGUUCUGUACCUUUCUCUUCAGCACAGCCGACAAAGGUUUAUGAUGGGUCAGUCCUCCUGCAUGCUCAGAUCAUUCCCUUCCCUUGCUUGAAAAAUUGUUCCGAAAUGAAAGUUGAACCCACAUCUUUUUUAUCUGUGAAUUCAAUGCCGUUCGGCGAGUCUCAAAUAAAAAUUUGGGCAUCUUACUGUAAAAAAAAUAUACCAUUAAUGUAAAAAAGAAACUCUAAAUAAACUAUGUUCACAUCCAGAAUCAAACCCAGGUCUUCUGCAUGAGAAGUCAGACAUCUUACAAGGUGAGCUACACUCUAGUAACAUUCACAGUAUCUGUAACUUUUAUAUCCUUGAUGACAGCUGAAACAACGUCAAACCAAAGAACGGUUCGGAG